CGGGCGCUAAUAUACAUGUAAUAUUUAAAACAAUUAACACAAGAUACUAGUUAAAUGCUACAUAAAAGAAGGGGAGUUUCAUACAAUAAAAAUGAAUUGGAGAAUUAAGACUGUGUUUUUUGUUUUAUUUAUAUGUUUAGUAAACGGAAUUAAUGCUGCAACAUCUUCAAGCUGCUCUGAUAUUCGUGUUGUGGACCUAUCUCACGUGCAUGGACCAAAACCUCUGACGGCUCCAUUCUUUCCACCUUACAGUUUUGAAAUUGUAAAUAGAUCUAUCAGUGAGGCACUUGGCGGUAAUUGGUAAGUAACGCAUGUAAUUAUUAUGGAUAUACGCAAAAAAUAAGUAGGUUUCCAAAAGACUGUUAUAAAUUGAUAGUUUUACACUUACAAAAUCUUUUGAGAUUUGAGCAAUUGAAAAUUUCACAGGAAAUAAUUCUGUCUUUUUAUUCAUAACCAUUUGCACCUACUUUGUUUCGAUCAUUUUAACCAAAUAACAAGUACUUUAUAAAUACAUUCAAAAAUAUCUUUUCAAACUGUAUGUAAUUAAGUUAUGGAAAAAAGUAGAGGCCAGCGUUCAAAGUUUUGAAUGUUUAACAUUGAUAUAGCUAGUGAACUCCAUUUUUUUUUACAACAAUACAAUAGAAGAGAAGCAGAGGUGGAUUUUAGGAGGGGGCAGGGGGGGGGCGCCCCCCCCCCUUUUUCAGAAAAAUUUUGGUUGGUUAUAUAGGGAAUCCCUUAAGCUUGACGAAAUCGGCCCCCUCCUUAUGUAGUCAGGGGGCCCCUCUUAUGAAAAUUUCUAGAUCCGCCACUGAGAAGUGAUCAUCCUUCAGAAAAUAUACAUGUGUAAGGAUUUCUUUGGUUGUAAUUUGAGUGCAAUAUUCAGCUCAAUUAGUUUUAUAGCCCGGUAGUCAACACUUCGGUUUUGACAUGAAUAUCAAUAAUGUGGUAAUUUUUAUAAAUGACCUGUUUACAAAACUUUUUUUUUUGAAUUUUCGAAAAACUAAGGAUUUUCUUAUCCCAGCCAUAUAUUACCUUUGCCGUAUUUGGCACAAUUUUUGGAGUUUAGGAUCCUCAAUGCUCUUCAACUUUCUACUUGUUUGGCUUUAUAAAUAUUUUAAUAUGAGCGUCACUGAUGACUCUUGUUUAGACGAAACACGCGUCUGGCGUACUAAAUUAUAAUCCUGGUACCUUUGAUAGCUAUUUACAGAUGAUAUUUGAUAUAAAAAAGAAGAUGUGGUAUGAUUGCCAAUGAGACAACUAUCCACAAAAGUCCAAAAUGACACAGACAUUAACAGCUAUAGGUCACCGUACGGCCUACGAAUAAGCAAAGCCCAUACCGCAUAGUCAGCUAUAAAAGGCCCCGAUAAGACAAUGUAAAACAAUUCAAAUGAGAAAACAAACGGCCUUAUUUAUGUAAAAAAAUGAUGAACGAAAAACAAAUAUGUAACAUAUAAACAAACGACAAUCACUGAAUUACAGGCUCCUGACUUGGGACAGGCACAUACAUAAAACAUGUGGCGGGGUUAAACAUGUUAGCGGGAUCCCAACCCUUCCCUAACUUGGAGACAGUGGUAUAACAGUACAACAUAGGAACGAACUAUAAAAAUCAGUUGAAAAAUUAUGUUGGUAAUUAAACAAUUUAACGAAAUUAAUAUGCGUUAUCAGUUUUAGAAAUCAAUGCUCUCUCAGAGUAAUAAUAAAGUUCAAAGUUCAAAUAUUUAUUGUCAUAAAAACUCUGAACAAUAAGUUUGUGACAAAUAAUAUAAACAUACACAAAAUACAUUUAACAAACAAAACCAUAAAACAAAAAAAAGCAAAAAAGCAAAAUAAUCUAUCUAUAUGAUAUAUAAAUAUAUUUUAUAAAUAAAUCAAGAGUCCCCUGUCCUCAGUUCUAAUGCCUGUUUAAAAUAGGACCCUCAGCUUUCUACUUCUUUUGAGGUUGAUGGACAAAGAAGAUAUUUAAUUUUUUCAUUUUCUUGCCAGGACAUAAAAUCUGGCAUAUGUUUAAUUACAUUUCCUAUAAAGUUAUCUCUUAGUUUAGCAAUUUUUUUGCAGUAUAAAAUAAAAUGGGCUUCAUCUUCCAUUGUAUUACAGGAUGUGCAUAGUCUUUUUUCUCUACGUAUUUUUAAAUGUCUUCCUUUUUCUAUCAUUAAAUUAUGAUCGCUAAUUCUCAUUUUUGUUAUGUUACUUCUCUUUUCAAAAGAUUUACAGUUUAAGUAGUUUUCCAUUUCUAAAUUUUGCUUUAAACUUUUAUAUAAAUACAAUUUACUUUUUUGAUCUAUUUUUCAAUUUUUUUGUUCAAAUAUAUUUGUGUAUAAAUUUAAGAAUUGAUGUUUUAAGGUUUUUUUAAACAUUUUGAGUAAUUUUUUCUUUUGUUUCCCUCAAGAAUAAUAAACUUAAUGUUCAGUAAUAUCUCAAUAGAAAAUUGAACACCUAAGAAACUCGAGUUGACGAAUAACAUGAUCAACCUGUUAGAGCGGUAGCAUAUAGUUCUAUCAAAAUAUCAAGUAAAAGGGCGAGUGAAAUUUUCUGAAUGAACAUGGGGACGACAUCAAAAGUUCAAUGAAGGAUUAAAAAACUUAAUUCACAUAGUUUUUCACUGACCCCCCACCCCCCUAUUAACUUAAUUUGGGAAAAAUUGAUUACAUAUGGAUAUAUGUAAAAAUCAAUGUCUUAGACAAAUUUAUAAAAAUAAUGUAUACAAAGCUAUGAAAAAAAUGUAAACAAGUUUUUGAAAAUAAUGUUUACAUUUUUUUUUUUAAAUUACCAGAUGCAUACAGAGUUCGUAAAAACAACUGUUUUUCCCAAAUUUUUGAAUAUUAUACAUAUCUUACAAGAAACGUUUGGACUUACUACUUUUGAAAGUACAACCCAUGUAUAAGAAGAUGAUUGAUCGCGGCAAAUGAGACAACUAUCCACCAAAGAUAAUAUUCCGCGUAUUCAAAUGCCAUUAUUAGACAAAACCCAUAUCGCAUUGUAAAUUAUAAAAGUGCAUAUUACCAACAUAUAAAGCAAUUCAAAGGUUUAUGGUUCAAUGAGAUAUAUAGACGUUGUUUUCAUUGUCAUCAUCGGUUUUGCAGAAUUAUAUGCGAUAGCUACAGAUUAUUCAAACAUACUUUCUUAAAGUGUGGAAUAACAGUUAACAAAGUUGACAAAUGUUUAAAUAAAUGUAAAAAUAUCUCACUAUAAUAAAUAUCCGAACAAAUAUUUUGGUGGGCAAGUAUAUUUACUUCGUCUUUUAACUAAUGCUCUGGUUUUAAUAUAAUUUUCAUUCAUAUAGGUUUGAGACUAACUAUAUUAGAACAUCUGAACACAGUGGAACCCACAUAGACUCCCCUUCUCACUUCUACAGAAACAAAAAACGCAUGCACAAUAUUCCAUUACACAAAUUAUAUGGACCAGGAGUUAUCAUAGAUAUCAGGAGACAGGUCUCGGGAAACGUGAAUUACAGAGUAAAAGUAUCGGACAUUAAACGAUGGGAAGCAAUUCAUGGCCGAAUACCGAAGGGAGCUGUUGUACUUUUUAAUUCCGGAUGGUCUAGCAGAUACCCAGAUCCAUUUAAAGUGUUUAAUACUCAAAACACUUCUGAUGUUUCUUCAUACGAGUUUCCAUCUUAUGAAUUCAAAGCAAUUACAUUUUUAGCGAAAUUUCGUUCUGUAAACAUAGUUGGAAGUGACACUCCGUCUAUUGGCGACUCGCCACCGGGUAAAGUUGAUUUGUCUAAUUUCACAUUUCUAUUUCAAAGAAACAUACCUGUGGUAUUGAAUGUUGCCAAUCUGGACAGACUACCUCUUUCAGGAUCGACAAUAUUUGUUCCCGCUAUCAACAUAUAUGAUGGAAGUGGUGCUCCUGCCAGAAUUUUUGCAACAGUUCCAGCGUCCAAAAUGGUAAAGAAAUAUUAUGGUUGAGCUUAUAAUAUUUCAUAUCGGUCUAUUGUUUUAAUCGUAAAUGACUGCUAUAUAAACAGUUCCAGCGUCAAAAACGAAAGAAAAA
RNAcentral lists this long non-coding RNA (3993 nucleotides) under Mytilus galloprovincialis (Mediterranean mussel). Lineage: Eukaryota; Metazoa; Mollusca; Bivalvia; Mytilida; Mytilidae. The record is from RNAcentral.